GAUCUCUGACCUCAAAUCAGGUAGACACCCCGACCC
Molecule: ribosomal RNA, 36 nt
Filed under: Ganoderma lucidum
Lineage: Eukaryota; Fungi; Basidiomycota; Agaricomycetes; Polyporales; Polyporaceae
Description: partial 28S ribosomal RNA
Source: RNAcentral